UGGUUCUGGCAUCGAUGAAGAACGCAGCGAAAUGCGAUAAGUAAUGUGAAUUACAGAAUUCCGUGAAUCAUCGAAUCUUUGAACGCACAUUGCGCCUUUUGGUAUUCCGAGAGGCAUGCCUGUUCGAGCGUCAUUUGUACCCUCAAGCUCUGCUUGGUAUUGGAGGUCAUCCCAGUGGGGUGCCCCCGAAAGUCAGCGGCGACGUAGCCGGCUCCCUGGCGUAGUGACUGCUGUCGCCCCGGAGUCGGUCGUGCGUCCGCCGGACAACACCCAACCAUUAAAUCGACCUCGGAUCAGGUAGGACUACCCGCUGA
Molecule: unclassified non-coding RNA, 314 nt
Filed under: uncultured fungus
Lineage: Eukaryota; Fungi
Description: partial contains 5.8S ribosomal RNA and internal transcribed spacer 2
Rfam family: 5.8S ribosomal RNA (bases 1-133)
Source: RNAcentral